This 127-nucleotide small RNA is filed under the name Marmota monax (woodchuck). The record is from RNAcentral. Lineage: Eukaryota; Metazoa; Chordata; Mammalia; Rodentia; Sciuridae.
GCCAGGCAUGGUGGCUCAUGCCUGUAAUCCCAGCAACUCUCAGAGCUGAGGCAGGAGGAUUGCAAGUUCAAAGCCAGUCUCAGCAGAUUAGUGAGGCACUGAGCAAUUCAGCAAGACCCUGUCUCUA